This 736-nucleotide ribosomal RNA is filed under the name uncultured archaeon. RNAcentral's name for it is "bacterial SSU rRNA". It matches the Rfam family "Archaeal small subunit ribosomal RNA", at positions 134 to 859 of the family's 1478-position model. The record is from RNAcentral.
GGGAAACUGAGAAUAAUACUCCAUAGGUCCAGGAUGCUGGAAUGCACUUAGACUGAAAAUUCCGGUGCCUAAGGAUGAGUCUGCGGACUAUCAGGUUGUAGUCAGGGUAAAGACCUGACUAGCCUAUGACGGAUACGGGUUGUGAGAGCAAUAACCCGGAGAUGAUAUCUGAGACACGAUAUCAGGCCCUACGGGGCGCAGCAGGCGCGAAAACUUCACAAUGUGCGAAAGCACGAUGAGGGAAUCCCAAGUGCUUGCACGUAAGUGCAAGCUGUUUCUAUGUCUAAAAACACAUAGAGAGUAAGGGCUGGGUAAGACGGGUGCCAGCCGCCGCGGUAAUACCUGCAGCUCAAGUGGGGGGCCGCUAUUAUUGGGCCUAAAACGUCCGUAGCGGGUUUAAUAAAUGCCUGGGUAAAUUGUAUAGCUUAACUAUACGAAUUCCGGGUAGACUGAUAAACUUGAGAUCGGGGGAAGUUUAGAGGUACUUCCUUGGGGUAAGAGGUGAAAUUCUGUAAUCCUAGGGGGACCCACCGGUGGCAAAGGCGUCUGACUAAAAACGGGUCUGACGGGUGAGGGACGAAGCCCCUGGGGCGCAAACGGGAUUAGAUACCCCGGUAGUCCAGGGUGUAAACGCUGCUUGCUUGAUGUUAGUCGGGCUUCGAGCCCGAAUUAGUGUCGGAGAGAAGUUGUUAAGCAAGCUGCCUGGGAAAGUACGGGCCGCAAGACUGAAACUUAA